GGGGAUGUUCUGGUUUUGACAGCAUCUGACAUUGGACAGUAAGCACGUCGGGCGUCGGUGGUUUGCCCGUUAAUCUCAGCCACCGAACAAUUAGUUGGCAACAACAAUUAUGCACUCGCUGCGUAAUCUACCAAGUAGAUUAGCUUAAUCGCCGGCCGCCAAGGCUGCGGUCGCGACGAGUAUCCCUCCGGGCUUUAGGCCGGUUAUGUCCGGAAUAUGGGGUAUCAUCCAAACCGGAUGCACAGGGGGACUCCUUUAAACCCUGCCAAGACUCAAAGGAUAAGCUGGCACUGGCCUGUCUUCCGGCAUCUGCCAGCCGACAACCAAAGAAAGACUAAACGUGUAGAAAGCUGCCUGGUGCGGUGUUUGGACGGCGGUUCGAGUCCGCCCAUCUCCACCA
Molecule: transfer-messenger RNA, 400 nt
Filed under: Candidatus Cryptobacteroides intestinavium
Lineage: Bacteria; Pseudomonadati; Bacteroidota; Bacteroidia; Bacteroidales
Description: Cryptobacteroides intestinavium Standard tmRNA
Rfam family: transfer-messenger RNA
About the family: Bacterial tmRNA, also known as 10Sa RNA or SsrA, is named for its dual tRNA and mRNA-like properties. Its role is to liberate the mRNA from a stalled ribosome. To accomplish this part of the tmRNA is used as a reading frame that ends in a translation stop signal.
Source: RNAcentral